AGAGUUUGAUCCUGGCUCAGGAUGAACGCUGGCGGCGUGCCUAACACAUGCAAGUCGAGCGGGAAAUCCGUGACGGAUCCUUCGGGUGACGGAUCGGAUGGAGAGCGGCGGACGGGUGAGUAACGCGUAGGUAACCUGCCCUGUACAGAGGGAUAGCCACUGGAAACGGUGAUUAAUACCUCAUAAUGCCGGAUCUGCACAUGCAGGACCGGUCAAAGUUUUUUCGGUACAGGAUGGACCUGCGUCUGAUUAGCUUGUUGGUGGGGUAACGGCUCACCAAGGCGACGAUCAGUAGCCGACCUGAGAGGGUGAUCGGCCACAUUGGAACUGAGACACGGUCCAAACUCCUACGGGAGGCAGCAGUGGGGAAUAUUGCACAAUGGGGGAAACCCUGAUGCAGCAACGCCGCGUGAACGAAGAAGGCUCUUGGGUCGUAAAGUUCUGUUCUGAGGGAAGAAGAAAGUGACGGUACCUCAGGAGAAAGCCCCGGCUAACUACGUGCCAGCAGCCGCGGUAAUACGUAGGGGGCAAGCGUUGUCCGGAAUUAUUGGGCGUAAAGAGUACGUAGGCGGUCUGGUAAGCGCAAGGUGAAAGGCAUAGGCUCAACCAAUGUCAGCCUUGCGAACUGUCAGACUUGAGUGCAGGAGGGGAAAGUGGAAUUCCUAGUGUAGCGGUGAAAUGCGUAGAUAUUAGGAGGAACACCAGUGGCGAAGGCGACUUUCUGGACUGUAACUGACGCUGAGGUACGAAAGCGUGGGGAGCAAACAGGAUUAGAUACCCUGGUAGUCCACGCCGUAAACGAUGAGCACUAGGUGUCGGGGCCGCAGGGCUUCGGUGCCGCAGUUAACGCAUUAAGUGCUCCGCCUGGGGAGUACGCACGCAAGUGUG
RNAcentral lists this ribosomal RNA (888 nucleotides) under human gut metagenome. RNAcentral's name for it is "bacterial SSU rRNA". It matches the Rfam family "Bacterial small subunit ribosomal RNA", at positions 8 to 896 of the family's 1533-position model. The record is from RNAcentral.